UGGAAGCCUAACCAACUUGUUAUCUUUGGAACAAUACAGAGAAAAUUAGAAUAGGCUCUAUGCAAGGAUGACCCCAAAGUUCUUUACGGGUUCCAUACUUUG
Mastomys coucha (southern multimammate mouse) is the source of this 102-nucleotide small nuclear RNA. NCBI's taxonomy places the organism in Eukaryota, Metazoa, Chordata, Mammalia, Rodentia, Muridae. The record is from RefSeq and is a predicted model, not a curated record.